CCUACGGGUGGCAGCAGUGAGGAAUAUUGGUCAAUGGGCGCGAGCCUGAACCAGCCAAGUAGCGUGAAGGAUGACUGCCCUACGGGUUGUAAACUUCUUUUAUAAAGGAAUAAAGUGAUCCACGUGUGCCUUUCUGCAUGUACUUUACGAAUAAGGAUCGGCUAACUCCGUGCCAGCAGCCGCGGUAAUACGGAGGAGCCGAGCGUUAUCCGGAUUUAUUGGGUGUAAAGGGUGCGUAGGCGGAUGGAUAAGUUAGAGGUGAAAUGUCCGAGGUUAACGCGGGAACUGCCUUUGAUACUGUAGGUCUAGAGAGUACAUGAGGUAGGCGGAAUGUAUGGUGUAGCGGUGAAAUGCAUAGAGAUCAUACAGAACACCGAUUGCGAAGGCAGCUUGCC
RNAcentral lists this ribosomal RNA (395 nucleotides) under uncultured bacterium. Its description in RNAcentral is "partial 16S ribosomal RNA". It matches the Rfam family "Bacterial small subunit ribosomal RNA", at positions 338 to 730 of the family's 1533-position model. The record is from RNAcentral.